GACGAACGCUGGCGGCGUGCUUAACACAUGCAAGUCGAGCGAUGAAACACCUUCGGGUGUGAAUUAGCGGCGAACGGGUGAGGAACACGUGAGAAAUCUGCCUUCAACACUGGGAUAACUCCGGGAAACCGGGGCUAAUACCGGAUAUGAAAUCUGCGGGCAUCCGCAGAUUUGGAAAGUUUUUCGGUUGAAGAUGAUCUCGCGGCCUAUCAGCUUGUUGGUGAGGUAAUGGCUCACCAAGGCGACGACG
Molecule: ribosomal RNA, 250 nt
Filed under: uncultured bacterium
Lineage: Bacteria
Description: partial 16S ribosomal RNA
Rfam family: Bacterial small subunit ribosomal RNA
Source: RNAcentral